This 67-nucleotide microRNA precursor is filed under the name Bombyx mori (domestic silkworm). RNAcentral describes it as "mir-2774 microRNA precursor family". It matches the Rfam family "mir-2774 microRNA precursor family". The record is from Rfam by way of RNAcentral. Lineage: Eukaryota; Metazoa; Arthropoda; Insecta; Lepidoptera; Bombycidae.
AUAACAUUUGGACCGUCGGUCUACCGAGCAAUUUUACCCGCUCUGUGGAUGAUCUUCCAUUUGUCCU